Molecule: ribosomal RNA, 254 nt
Filed under: uncultured bacterium
Lineage: Bacteria
Description: partial 16S ribosomal RNA
Rfam family: Bacterial small subunit ribosomal RNA
Source: RNAcentral
UACGUAGGGUGCAAGCGUUGUCCGGAAUUAUUGGGCGUAAAGAGCUUGUAGGCGGUUUGUCGCGUCUGCUGUGAAAUUUCGGGGCUCAACCCCGAACUUGCAGUGGGUACGGGCAGACUAGAGUGUGGUAGGGGAGACUGGAAUUCCUGGUGUAGCGGUGAAAAUGCGCAGAUAUCAGGAGGAACACCGGUGGCGAAGGCGGGUCUCUGGGCCGAUACUGACGCUGAGGAGCGAAAGCGUGGGGAGCGAACAGG